This 77-nucleotide transfer RNA is filed under the name Candidatus Solibacter sp. RNAcentral describes it as "tRNA-Pro". It matches the Rfam family "tRNA". Rfam says of the family: Transfer RNA (tRNA) molecules are approximately 80 nucleotides in length. Their secondary structure includes four short double-helical elements and three loops (D, anti-codon, and T loops). Further hydrogen bonds mediate the characteristic L-shaped molecular structure. tRNAs have two regions of fundamental functional importance: the anti-codon, which is responsible for specific mRNA codon recognition, and the 3' end, to which the tRNAs corresponding amino acid is attached (by aminoacyl-tRNA synthetases). tRNAs cope with the degeneracy of the genetic code in two manners: having more than one tRNA (with a specific anti-codon) for a particular amino acid; and 'wobble' base-pairing, i.e. permitting non-standard base-pairing at the 3rd anti-codon position. RNAcentral also lists the same sequence under 1 other name. Lineage: Bacteria; Pseudomonadati; Acidobacteriota; Terriglobia; Bryobacterales; Solibacteraceae. The record is from RNAcentral.
CGGGGCGUGGCGCAGCCUGGUAGCGCACCUGCCUUGGGCGCAGGGGGUCGUGGGUUCAAAUCCCUCCGCCCCGACCA